CCUACGGGAGGCAGCAGUAGGGAAUAUUGCUCAAUGGGGGAAACCCUGAAGCAGCAACGCCGCGUGGAGGAUGACGGUUUUCGGAUUGUAAACUCCUUUUGUUAGAGAAGAUAAUGACGGUAUCUCACGAAUAAGCACCGGCUAACUCCGUGCCAGCAGCCGCGGUAAGACGGCGGGUGCAAGCGUUACUCGGAAUCACUGGGCGUAAAGAGCGCGUAGGCGGGAUAGCAAGUCAGAUGUGAAAUCCUAUGGCUUAACCAUAGAACUGCAUUUGAAACUGUUAUUCUAGAGUAUGGGAGAGGUAGGUGGAAUGCUUGGUGUAGGGGUAAAAUCCGUAGAGAUCAAGAGGAAUACUCAUUGCGAAGGCGACCUGCUAGAACAUAACUGACGCUGAGGCGCGAAAGCGUGGGGAGCAAACAGGAUUAGAUACCCUUGUAGUC
Molecule: ribosomal RNA, 440 nt
Filed under: uncultured bacterium
Lineage: Bacteria
Description: partial 16S ribosomal RNA
Rfam family: Bacterial small subunit ribosomal RNA
Source: RNAcentral